UGCAGUCGAACGGAAACGACAGAAACGAUCACUUCGGUGUGAGUUUCUGGGCGUCGAGUGGCGGACGGGUGCGUAACGCGUAGGAAUCUACCUUAUAGUGGGGGACAACUCGGGGAAACUCGAGCUAAUACCGCAUAAGCCUUACGAGGGAAAGCAGGGGAUCUUCGGACCUUGCGCUAUUAGAUGAGCCUGCGUCGGAUUAGCUUGUUGGUAGGGUAAUGGCCUACCAAGGCGACGAUCCGUAGCUGGUCUGAGAGGAUGAUCAGCCACACUGGGACUGAGACACGGCCCAGACUCCUACGGGAGGCAGCAGUGGGGAAUAUUGGACAAUGGGCGCAAGCCUGAUCCCAGCAAUGCCGCGUGUGUGAAGAAGGCCUUCGGGUUGUAAAGCACUUUCAGUAGGGAAGAAAUGCGUGAAGCUAAUAACUUCGCGCCUUGACGGUACCUAC
Molecule: ribosomal RNA, 449 nt
Filed under: uncultured Gammaproteobacteria bacterium
Lineage: Bacteria; Pseudomonadati; Pseudomonadota; Gammaproteobacteria
Description: bacterial SSU rRNA
Rfam family: Bacterial small subunit ribosomal RNA
Source: RNAcentral